Molecule: ribosomal RNA, 175 nt
Filed under: Schizodon fasciatus
Lineage: Eukaryota; Metazoa; Chordata; Actinopteri; Characiformes; Anostomidae
Description: partial small subunit ribosomal RNA
Source: RNAcentral
CCGCGGUUAUACGAGAGACCCUAAUUGAUAGGCACGGCGUAAAGAGUGGUUAGGGGUAGACUAUAAAUAAAGCUAAAGACCUUCUAAGCUGUCAUACGCACACCGAAGGCAUGAAGUCCUAAUACGAAAGUAGCUUUACUAUUAUCCUUGACGCCACGAAAGCUAAGAAACAAAC